RNAcentral lists this ribosomal RNA (484 nucleotides) under uncultured bacterium. Its description in RNAcentral is "partial 16S ribosomal RNA". It matches the Rfam family "Bacterial small subunit ribosomal RNA", at positions 29 to 523 of the family's 1533-position model. The record is from RNAcentral.
AGUGAACGCUGGCGGCGUGCUUAACACAUGCAAGUCGAACGAGAACGGGUUAUAGCUUGCUAUAAUUGUCAGCUAAGUGGCGCACGGGUGAGUAAUGUAUAGGUAAUAUGCCUCUUACUAAGGGAUAACAAAUGGAAACGUUUGCUAAUACCUUAUACUCCUUAUUAACAGAAGUUAAUAAGGGAAAGAUUUAUUGGUAAGAGAUUAGCCUGUAUUGUAUCAGUUAGUUGGUGGGGUAAUGGCCUACCAAGACUAUGACACAUAACUGGUUUGAGAGGAUGAUCAGUCACACUGGAACUGAGACAUGGUCCAGACUCCUACGGGAGGCAGCAGUGGGGAAUAUUGCACAAUGGACGAAAGUCUGAUGCAGCAACGCCGCGUGGAGGAUGACACAUUUCGGUGCGUAAACUCCUUUUAUAUGAGAAGAUAAUGACGGUAUUAUAUGAAUAAGCACCGGCUAACUCCGUGCCAGCCGCCGCAGUAA